RNAcentral lists this ribosomal RNA (397 nucleotides) under uncultured microorganism. Its description in RNAcentral is "bacterial SSU rRNA". It matches the Rfam family "Bacterial small subunit ribosomal RNA", at positions 9 to 408 of the family's 1533-position model. The record is from RNAcentral.
GAGUUUGAUCGUGGCUCAGGAUGAACGCUGGCGGCGUGCUUAACACAUGCAAGUCGAACGAUGAUCCCAGCUUGCUGGGGGAUUAGUGGCGAACGGGUGAGUAACACGUGAGUAACCUGCCCUUGACUCUGGGGAUAAGCCUGGGAAACUGGGUCUAAUACCGGAUAUGACCUUCCAUCGCAUGGUGGUUGGUGGAAAGUCUUUUGUGGUUUGGAUGGACUCGCGGCCUAUCAGCUUGUUGGUGAGGUAUGGCUUACCAAGGCGACGACGGGUAGCCGGCCUGAGAGGGUGACCGGCCACACUGGGACUGAGACACGGCCCAGACUCCUACGGGAGGCAGCAGUGGGGAAUAUUGCACAAUGGGCGCAAGCCUGAUGCAGCGACGCCGCGUGAGGGA